RNAcentral lists this ribosomal RNA (451 nucleotides) under uncultured bacterium. RNAcentral's name for it is "partial 16S ribosomal RNA". It matches the Rfam family "Bacterial small subunit ribosomal RNA", at positions 354 to 796 of the family's 1533-position model. The record is from RNAcentral.
GUGGGGAAUAUUGGACAAUGGGGGGAACCCUGAUCCAGCCAUGCCGCGUGUGUGAAGAAGGCCUUUUGGUUGUAAAGCACUUUAAGCGAGGAGGAGGCUACCGAGAUUAAUACUCUUGGAUAGUGGACGUUACUCGCAGAAUAAGCACCGGCUAACUCUGUGCCAGCAGCCGCGGUAAUACAGAGGGUGCGAGCGUUAAUCGGAUUUACUGGGCGUAAAGCGUGCGUAGGCGGCCAAUUAAGUCAAAUGUGAAAUCCCCGAGCUUAACUUGGGAAUUGCAUUCGAUACUGGUUGGCUAGAGUAUGGGAGAGGAUGGUAGAAUUCCAGGUGUAGCGGUGAAAUGCGUAGAGAUCUGGAGGAAUACCGAUGGCGAAGGCAGCCAUCUGGCCUAAUACUGACACUGAGGUGCGAAAGCAUGGGGAGCAAACAGGAUUAGAUACCCGAGUAGUCC